UACGGAGGAUCCGAGCGUUAUCCGGAUUUAUUGGGUUUAAAGGGUGCGCAGGCGGGAGAUUAAGUCGGCGGUGAAAUUUUGCAGCUCAACUGUAAAAGUGCCUUCGAAACUGGUUUCCUUGAGUGUAGAUGAAGUAGGCGGAAUUUGUGGUGUAGCGGUGAAAUGCAUAGAUAUCACGAGGAACUCCGAUUGCGCAGGCAGCUUACUAAGCCAUAACUGACGCUCAGGCACGAAGGCGUGGGGAUCAAACAGGAUUAGAUACCCCGGUA
RNAcentral lists this ribosomal RNA (269 nucleotides) under uncultured prokaryote. RNAcentral's name for it is "partial 16S ribosomal RNA". It matches the Rfam family "Bacterial small subunit ribosomal RNA", at positions 524 to 792 of the family's 1533-position model. The record is from RNAcentral.